This 216-nucleotide ribosomal RNA is filed under the name Triticum aestivum (bread wheat). RNAcentral's name for it is "partial small subunit ribosomal RNA". Lineage: Eukaryota; Viridiplantae; Streptophyta; Magnoliopsida; Poales; Poaceae. The record is from RNAcentral.
AUAUGGAAAGCCAAAGUUCCUCUCAAGAUUAAAAUCUUUUUAUGGUAGUUAUCCCAAGACACGAUACUCACAAGACAAGUGAUGAGGGAAAGAAAGUGGCCAGGGAAUCCUCGUUGUUCAUUCUGCAGGGAGGCAGAAACCUCUAACCACCUCUUUUUCACUUGCCCGGUUGCUAGGGUGGUUUGGAGAUCUAUUGGGGUAUUUCGUCUGGUGUAG